This 323-nucleotide ribosomal RNA is filed under the name Allapsidae sp. Its description in RNAcentral is "SSU rRNA". The stretch from base 110 to 323 matches the Rfam family "Eukaryotic small subunit ribosomal RNA", at positions 741 to 955 of the family's 1831-position model. Lineage: Eukaryota; Cercozoa; Glissomonadida; Viridiraptoridae. The record is from RNAcentral.
GAUUUCUGGCACGAUGCGCCUGGCCCGCCACGGUUUCGUGUGUGAGUGCCGGGUCGGAUCUACCAUCCUUCCAGAGAACGCUUCUACCCUUCAUUGGGCCGGAAACGCAAUCUGGAUCGUUUACUUUGAAAAAAUUAGAGUGUUUCAAGCAGGCGACUCGCUGUGAAUACAUUAGCAUGGAAUAAUAACUUAGGACUUCGGUUCUAUUUUGUUGGUUUCUAGGACUGAAGUAAUGAUUGAUAGGGAUAGUUGGGGGUGCUAGUAUUCAGUGGCCAGAGGUGAAAUUCUCGGAUUCACUGAAGACUAACUUAUGCGAAAGCAUU